RNAcentral lists this ribosomal RNA (791 nucleotides) under uncultured bacterium. Its description in RNAcentral is "bacterial SSU rRNA". It matches the Rfam family "Bacterial small subunit ribosomal RNA", at positions 8 to 796 of the family's 1533-position model. The record is from RNAcentral.
AGAGUUUGAUCCUGGCUCAGAUUGAACGCUGGCGGCAUGCCUUACACAUGCAAGUCGAACGGCAGCACGGGGGCAACCCUGGUGGCGAGUGGCGAACGGGUGAGUAAUACAUCGGAACGUGUCCUGUAGUGGGGGAUAGCCCGGCGAAAGCCGGAUUAAUACCGCAUACGCUCUACGGAGGAAAGGGGGGGAUCGCAAGACCUCUCGCUACAGGGGCGGCCGAUGGCAGAUUAGCUAGUUGGUGGGGUAAAGGCCUACCAAGGCGACGAUCUGUAGCUGGUCUGAGAGGACGACCAGCCACACUGGGACUGAGACACGGCCCAGACUCCUACGGGAGGCAGCAGUGGGGAAUUUUGGACAAUGGGCGCAAGCCUGAUCCAGCAAUGCCGCGUGUGUGAAGAAGGCCUUCGGGUUGUAAAGCACUUUUGUCCGGAAAGAAAUCCUUUGGGCUAAUACCCUGAGGGGAUGACGGUACCGGAAGAAUAAGCACCGGCUAACUACGUGCCAGCAGCCGCGGUAAUACGUAGGGUGCAAGCGUUAAUCGGAAUUACUGGGCGUAAAGCGUGCGCAGGCGGUCCGCUAAGACAGAUGUGAAAUCCCCGGGCUUAACCUGGGAACUGCAUUUGUGACUGGCGGGCUAGAGUAUGGCAGAGGGGGGUAGAAUUCCACGUAGCAGUGAAAUGCGUAGAGAUGUGGAGGAAUACCGAUGGCGAAGGCAGCCCCCUGGGCCAAUACUGACGCUCAUGCACGAAAGCGUGGGGAGCAAACAGGAUUAGAUACCCCUGUAGUCC